AUUGAACGCUGGCGGCAGGCCUAACACAUGCAAGUCGGACGGCAGCACAGAGAGCUUGCUCUUGGGUGACGAGUGGCGGACGGGUGAGUAAUGUCUGGGGAUCUGCCCGAUAGAGGGGGAUAACCACUGGAAACGGUGGCUAAUACCGCAUAACGUCGCAAGAUCAAAGAGGGGGACCUUCGGGCCUCUCACUAUCGGAUGAACCCAGAUGGGAUUAGCUAGUAGGCGGGGUAAUGGCCCACCUAGGCGACGAUCCCUAGCUGGUCUGAGAGGAUUAACAGCCACACUGGAAGUGAGUCUAGGUCCAGACUCCUACGGGGGGCAGGAGUUGGUAAUAUUGCACAAUGGGCGCAAGCCGGAUGGAGUCAUGCCGCGUGUAUGAAGAAGGCCUUCGGGUUGUAAAGUACUUUCGGCGGGGAGGAAAGCGGUGCGGUUAAUAACCGUACCGAUUGACGUUACCCGCAGAAGAAGCACCGGCUAACUCCGUACCAGCCGCCGCCGUAA
RNAcentral lists this ribosomal RNA (504 nucleotides) under uncultured bacterium. RNAcentral describes it as "partial 16S ribosomal RNA". It matches the Rfam family "Bacterial small subunit ribosomal RNA", at positions 30 to 523 of the family's 1533-position model. The record is from RNAcentral.